UUUCACCUGGUGAAGACGAAAACCUCACUCCCUCCAUCAAAAUAUUCAAUUCCCUCUUUUCUUUUCCCUCCAGUGAAAAACCUAGCUUCCCUCCCCGUUGAAAAUUGAAAUCCAGCGCCUUUUCUAUUCCCUCAGUUGAAAAUUCAUUCCCCCUCCUUAUAGUUAAAAUCAUAUUUUAAUUGAAUAAUUUUCCUGCUUCCCUCGUCUUCAAUCGAUUUCAAGCAAACCUAAUUUCACCCUAACUAGUCGAAAUUCAGGUACGUGUAUCACCUUUAGUCGGGUUUUUCGGCAUCUAAUAACCUUCGGUUGAUCUCAGUUCGCCGAAUAUUAACCUUCAACUGAUUUUAGUCUGUGCCUACAGGUUCAAUUGACAAUAUCCAUUUAGCUUUUUCAUCUUUUACAGGAAAGAAACCAUCGAUCUUCUUGCCGCGUGUUUCUCUUCUUGCUGCGUUUUUUCUCUCUUGUGAUUUUCUCGAUCAAGAGUUAUCUUCAUCAUCAGCAGGUAACCUCUAUCAUUGCUAAGAAAGAGCUAAUACAAGAAUCAAUUUACUCGCAUGAAGAAUGUGAAAGAGGUCCAUAAGCUUAAUGAUGUCUCAAAUUUUCAUUCAAACAUUUUUUAGGCUUGAUUUUUUUUAGUAUUUGAUAUUUACACUUAAUUUGAUACUUAUUAGAUGCUUGUUACCAAACAUUUGGGAUAUCUUUGUAGGUCCAUUGAACUUAAAUUAUUAUGAUUUCUGCAUUUUAUAUACUUUUAUUUUAAUUUUA
Non-coding RNA from Lactuca sativa (garden lettuce), 765 nucleotides. The record is from RefSeq and is a predicted model, not a curated record. Lineage: Eukaryota; Viridiplantae; Streptophyta; Magnoliopsida; Asterales; Asteraceae.